This 2930-nucleotide ribosomal RNA is filed under the name Escherichia coli. Its description in RNAcentral is "bacterial LSU rRNA". It matches the Rfam family "Bacterial large subunit ribosomal RNA". The record is from RNAcentral. Lineage: Bacteria; Pseudomonadati; Pseudomonadota; Gammaproteobacteria; Enterobacterales; Enterobacteriaceae.
GGGUUGUGAGGUUAAGCGACUAAGCGUACACGGUGGAUGCCCUGGCAGUCAGAGGCGAUGAAGGACGUGCUAAUCUGCGAUAAGCGUCGGUAAGGUGAUAUGAACCGUUAUAACCGGCGAUUUCCGAAUGGGGAAACCCAGUGUGAUUCGUCACACUAUCAUUAACUGAAUCCAUAGGUUAAUGAGGCGAACCGGGGGAACUGAAACAUCUAAGUACCCCGAGGAAAAGAAAUCAACCGAGAUUCCCCCAGUAGCGGCGAGCGAACGGGGAGCAGCCCAGAGCCUGAAUCAGUGUGUGUGUUAGUGGAAGCGUCUGGAAAGGCGUGCGAUACAGGGUGACAGCCCCGUACACAAAAAUGCACAUGCUGUGAGCUCGAUGAGUAGGGCGGGACACGUGGUAUCCUGUCUGAAUAUGGGGGGACCAUCCUCCAAGGCUAAAUACUCCUGACUGACCGAUAGUGAACCAGUACCGUGAGGGAAAGGCGAAAAGAACCCCGGCGAGGGGAGUGAAAAAGAACCUGAAACCGUGUACGUACAAGCAGUGGGAGCACGCUUAGGCGUGUGACUGCGUACCUUUUGUAUAAUGGGUCAGCGACUUAUAUUCUGUAGCAAGGUUAACCGAAUAGGGGAGCCGAAGGGAAACCGAGUCUUAACUGGGCGUUAAGUUGCAGGGUAUAGACCCGAAACCCGGUGAUCUAGCCAUGGGCAGGUUGAAGGUUGGGUAACACUAACUGGAGGACCGAACCGACUAAUGUUGAAAAAUUAGCGGAUGACUUGUGGCUGGGGGUGAAAGGCCAAUCAAACCGGGAGAUAGCUGGUUCUCCCCGAAAGCUAUUUAGGUAGCGCCUCGUGAAUUCAUCUCCGGGGGUAGAGCACUGUUUCGGCAAGGGGGUCAUCCCGACUUACCAACCCGAUGCAAACUGCGAAUACCGGAGAAUGUUAUCACGGGAGACACACGGCGGGUGCUAACGUCCGUCGUGAAGAGGGAAACAACCCAGACCGCCAGCUAAGGUCCCAAAGUCAUGGUUAAGUGGGAAACGAUGUGGGAAGGCCCAGACAGCCAGGAUGUUGGCUUAGAAGCAGCCAUCAUUUAAAGAAAGCGUAAUAGCUCACUGGUCGAGUCGGCCUGCGCGGAAGAUGUAACGGGGCUAAACCAUGCACCGAAGCUGCGGCAGCGACGCUUAUGCGUUGUUGGGUAGGGGAGCGUUCUGUAAGCCUGCGAAGGUGUGCUGUGAGGCAUGCUGGAGGUAUCAGAAGUGCGAAUGCUGACAUAAGUAACGAUAAAGCGGGUGAAAAGCCCGCUCGCCGGAAGACCAAGGGUUCCUGUCCAACGUUAAUCGGGGCAGGGUGAGUCGACCCCUAAGGCGAGGCCGAAAGGCGUAGUCGAUGGGAAACAGGUUAAUAUUCCUGUACUUGGUGUUACUGCGAAGGGGGGACGGAGAAGGCUAUGUUGGCCGGGCGACGGUUGUCCCGGUUUAAGCGUGUAGGCUGGUUUUCCAGGCAAAUCCGGAAAAUCAAGGCUGAGGCGUGAUGACGAGGCACUACGGUGCUGAAGCAACAAAUGCCCUGCUUCCAGGAAAAGCCUCUAAGCAUCAGGUAACAUCAAAUCGUACCCCAAACCGACACAGGUGGUCAGGUAGAGAAUACCAAGGCGCUUGAGAGAACUCGGGUGAAGGAACUAGGCAAAAUGGUGCCGUAACUUCGGGAGAAGGCACGCUGAUAUGUAGGUGAAGCGACUUGCUCGUGGAGCUGAAAUCAGUCGAAGAUACCAGCUGGCUGCAACUGUUUAUUAAAAACACAGCACUGUGCAAACACGAAAGUGGACGUAUACGGUGUGACGCCUGCCCGGUGCCGGAAGGUUAAUUGAUGGGGUCAGCGCAAGCGAAGCUCUUGAUCGAAGCCCCGGUAAACGGCGGCCGUAACUAUAACGGUCCUAAGGUAGCGAAAUUCCUUGUCGGGUAAGUUCCGACCUGCACGAAUGGCGUAAUGAUGGCCAGGCUGUCUCCACCCGAGACUCAGUGAAAUUGAACUCGCUGUGAAGAUGCAGUGUACCCGCGGCAAGACGGAAAGACCCCGUGAACCUUUACUAUAGCUUGACACUGAACAUUGAGCCUUGAUGUGUAGGAUAGGUGGGAGGCUUUGAAGUGUGGACGCCAGUCUGCAUGGAGCCGACCUUGAAAUACCACCCUUUAAUGUUUGAUGUUCUAACGUUGACCCGUAAUCCGGGUUGCGGACAGUGUCUGGUGGGUAGUUUGACUGGGGCGGUCUCCUCCUAAAGAGUAACGGAGGAGCACGAAGGUUGGCUAAUCCUGGUCGGACAUCAGGAGGUUAGUGCAAUGGCAUAAGCCAGCUUGACUGCGAGCGUGACGGCGCGAGCAGGUGCGAAAGCAGGUCAUAGUGAUCCGGUGGUUCUGAAUGGAAGGGCCAUCGCUCAACGGAUAAAAGGUACUCCGGGGAUAACAGGCUGAUACCGCCCAAGAGUUCAUAUCGACGGCGGUGUUUGGCACCUCGAUGUCGGCUCAUCACAUCCUGGGGCUGAAGUAGGUCCCAAGGGUAUGGCUGUUCGCCAUUUAAAGUGGUACGCGAGCUGGGUUUAGAACGUCGUGAGACAGUUCGGUCCCUAUCUGCCGUGGGCGCUGGAGAACUGAGGGGGGCUGCUCCUAGUACGAGAGGACCGGAGUGGACGCAUCACUGGUGUUCGGGUUGUCAUGCCAAUGGCACUGCCCGGUAGCUAAAUGCGGAAGAGAUAAGUGCUGAAAGCAUCUAAGCACGAAACUUGCCCCGAGAUGAGUUCUCCCUGACUCCUUGAGAGUCCUGAAGGAACGUUGAAGACGACGACGUUGAUAGGCCGGGUGUGUAAGCGCAGCGAUGCGUUGAGCUAACCGGUACUAAUGAACCGUGAGGCUUAACCUUACAACGCCGAAGCUGUU